This is a long non-coding RNA of Apodemus sylvaticus (European woodmouse), 921 nucleotides long. RefSeq lists it as uncharacterized. The record is from RefSeq and is a predicted model, not a curated record. The transcript is spliced from 3 exons. Lineage: Eukaryota; Metazoa; Chordata; Mammalia; Rodentia; Muridae.
CAGUUAGAACAGCCAAAGUGGAGGACUAACAAAAGCUGAAGAGAUAAUUCAACAAGUUCUGCACGGAAUAAAUUCACUAUGCUGUCACAGAGGAUAAUCAGGACAGCAAAGUGUUCUGGCAGCCAAGUGAAGACUGUUUUUAAGGAUAGAGAGAACAACUCUGGAAAAUGCUGCCAACAUCUCAAGGAAGAUUUCCAGAAGCUGUGUGGAAUGAGCACAGGGAUUACUCGGAGAAGCAAACGCAAAAAUCCAUCUUCUUCCCAGGCAGGAAGAAAUCCGAUGUUUUACGCCGGGUGCUGUAAAACAGGCCAUUGUCUUUCUGUAUUUUAUCUGUCUCAUGAAAGGUAUUUCUCACAUAAAAUUAUUACUUAUGUUAACCUACAGUGGGAGAAUUCUUCUAACUCAAAGUAAAUAAACAGUUAUUGAUGAUCUGUUUUCAUUUAGCAUAUGCUAAACAUGAGCAUAUAUUGCCCAUACGAAUAUGGUGCCAGUAUUUAGGAGAGCACAGGUUGUGCUCCUGACAUCAAAAAGUUUAAGUACCUCUGACUUUUGCCCCUUGCUGGAAGAUGAAGGCUCUCCCAGGGAGAGGCUGAAGGGCCAGGCAGAUGAUACCGAGGCCUGCAGAGGCUCUUCAGACUGUGACCCACAAGCAUGGUCACCUCCCAGGGCAGUGGCUGGAACCUGUGUAGGAACUGUCUCAAAAAGUUCCACCUGCCCUCCGCAGCCCUCCUAGCCUGGAGCAGCACGAAGAACGUAGUGAUUAUUCUGAAAAUGUGAGCAAUAAAUGAGUCUCUAUCAGUAAGUAGUGUAUCUUUCCAGACUCUAUGAAGUCUUCGAAGUUUCUUUUCUUUGAGCAUUAACACAAUAUAUAUCCCAAUAGAAAAUGUAGAGAAUACUGAAAAGUCUUUAAAACAUGAAUUU